AUACCUUGCCGGCGUGCUUAAUACAUGCAAGUAGACCGGUUAAAGCUUGGUGCUUGCCCGACCGAUAGUUGCGACGGUUAGUAACGCGUAGGUAACCUGCCUCUUAGCGGGGGAUACUAUUGGAACGAUAGCUAAUCCGCAUAAAAGUCGAUAUCGCAGAUAUGAUUUGAAAGGUGCAAAUGCAUCAUAAGAGAUGGACCUGCGUUGUAUUAGCUAGUUGGUAGGUAACGGCUCACCAAGGCGACGAUACAUAGCCGACCUGAGAGGGUGAUCGGCCACACUGGGACUGAGACACGGCCCAGACUCCUACGGGAGGCAGCAGUAGGGAAUCUUCGGCAAUGGGGGCAACCCUGACCGAGCAACGCCGCGGAGUGAAGAAGGUUUUCGGAUCGUAAAGCUCUGUUGUAAGAGAAGAACGAGUGUGAGAGUGGAAAGUUCACACUGUGACGGUAACUUACCAGAAAGGGACGGCUAAACC
This 478-nucleotide ribosomal RNA is filed under the name Streptococcus parasanguinis. RNAcentral describes it as "bacterial SSU rRNA". It matches the Rfam family "Bacterial small subunit ribosomal RNA", at positions 33 to 503 of the family's 1533-position model. Lineage: Bacteria; Bacillati; Bacillota; Bacilli; Lactobacillales; Streptococcaceae. The record is from RNAcentral.